GACGAACGCCGGCGGCGUGUCUAAUACAUGCAAGUAGAACGCACAGUUUAUACCGUAGCUUGCUACACCAUAGACUGUGAGUUGCGAACGGGUGAGUAACGCGUAGGUAACCUGCCUGGUAGCGGGGGAUAACUAUUGGAAACGAUAGCUAAUACCGCAUAAUAUUAAUUAUUGCAUGAUAAUUGAUUGAAAGAUGCAACUGCAUCACUACCAGAUGGACCUGCGUUGUAUUAGCUAGUAGGUGAGGUAACGGCUCACCUAGGCGACGAUACAUAGCCGACCUGAGAGGGUGAUCGGCCACACUGGGACUGAGACACGGCCCAGACUCCUACGGGAGGCAGCAGUAGGGAAUCUUCGGCAAUGGACGAAAGUCUGACCGAGCAACGCCGCGUGAGUGAAGAAGGUUUUCGGAUCGUAAAGCUCUGUUGUAAGAGAAGAACGGGUGUGAGAGUGGAAAGUUCACACUGUGACGGUAUCUUACCAGAAAGGGACGGCUAACUACGUG
RNAcentral lists this ribosomal RNA (505 nucleotides) under uncultured bacterium. Its description in RNAcentral is "partial 16S ribosomal RNA". It matches the Rfam family "Bacterial small subunit ribosomal RNA", at positions 28 to 507 of the family's 1533-position model. The record is from RNAcentral.